This is an RNA transcript of Dinoponera quadriceps, 2014 nucleotides long. It is a transcript of the gene named ran-binding protein 3, with no coding region annotated. The record is from RefSeq and is a predicted model, not a curated record. Lineage: Eukaryota; Metazoa; Arthropoda; Insecta; Hymenoptera; Formicidae. The transcript has 6 exons.
UCACUUCUGGCAAGCGAAUGCAUACGAACACAGCCUUUAAGCGCUCGGCUAGAAACAUUUCGGAUCUCUGAUGCGUGACGUUACAAGAUUAGUUCUAACGUCUUCGCUACGUGGCGACACUUGUCUCGACGAGGAAUCCGAGCACGUAGUAGUACGACUCAAUGAUAGGUUAAACGAACUCUAUUAUUUUUCAGUGGUGCUACACCGUCCGACCAAGUUUACGAAAAGUGACUUGACUUCAUGUUAACAAACAGUACGUCACACCUACAUGCACGUGCGAGUUUCACGAAGUGCUUCGGACAAUUUUCAAGCCUCGGUCGCCGCAAACCGCAAGGUCGGACCGGCGGGACGUAUUUGCAAGUGUAUGCAGUACGCAGACUAUACUUUUUUACCCAACGUUCGAUCGAAGGAUACGGAGCAACCAGGCCAUUCGUCGCUUAUCCUGAAGGUCGACCCGCCCGAGGACCCUUCGAAAAGCUCCCCUGAAAAUUCGGGGCACAGUAAUUCAACCACGUCGACCACCGACCGAGAUAAGGUAGAAGAUCAAAUGGCCAAGGAGCCAAGUGAUCAAGAAUCGACGAUUGUAGCUGUUAACUCUUCUAAUAAAAUAAAUUGUGUGCUAGCUGCUUCGAAAUUUGGUAAUUCGUUCGGUGCGAAUGAAUCCUCAAAUACCUUAACUAGUAAAUCAAAGUCAUCUAUAUUAAGGCCGUCGCAAUUAAGCUCAGUUACCAAUAGUUCUUUAGUUGCUAACGACAAGACCGUUCUGCAACCAUCGAAAUUUAACAAUCCGUUCACAAAAGUCACCGACAAUUCUAUGGAAGAGGAGGAUAACACGUCCGCGACGCCGAGCAAUAAAGCUGAGACUAGCAAGGAUGUCAAGGAGGAGGAGAAGCCCGCGGAAGAGGCGAAGCCGAAAUUCCUGCCUCUGGAUAUAAGCACGAAGGAGAACGAGAACAAUGUAAAUAGCACUAUGGCACCUAGUGCCUCCACUCCUAGCUUUGUGUUCGGUCAGAAUUUGAAGGAACGUGUCACCGUUUCUACCGAUACGGAGAGUUCGGACAAUUCGGAGAAGGAAGAAGCGAAAAGUGACAUGAAAGAGGAGGCCAACGAGAACGGAUCGUCCGAACUUCUGUUCUCGAACGCAGCUGCGGUCUGCCGUGCCACUGUCAGGCCAGGUUUAACGUUAACCCAGGCGGCGCAAGCGCUGGAAGAGGCUAAUCGCGCCAACAAGAGAAAGUAUAAUCAAGUGACACUGCUGACCGGCGAGGAAGGGGAAACGAACGUCCUUCAGAUCAAUUGCAAGCUAUUUGCGUUUGAUAAGACUACCUGCAGUUGGCUGGAGAGAGGUAGGGGCACGUUGAGACUGAACGAUCUCGAGGAAGAGUCCCGUUUGGUCGGCCGUACCGCCGGCACACAGCGGGUGAUCCUGAACACGAAAGUAUGGCCGGGUAUGACCGCGGAGCGGGCCGGGCCCAAGUCCUUGAGGCUGACCGCGAUGGAGAUGGGCGACGUGCGAAUCGUAAUCGUUCAGGCGGCGCCCAAAGAAAUCGAUCAGCUGCACAUCCUCCUGCUGCAACGGCUGAAGCGCGCCCAGGAGCGUCCGACGACGAAGAGGCUGGCGACGGAACACUGACAACCGAUCGGCAACUUUGGCGGACGGGCGUUGACCGCUUGUCAACUUAAUUCAUGCAACAUAGAGGUCACUAACACAUGUAAAUAAAAUCCUCGCGCGGACUGAUGCGAUGGCGGAAGAGAGAGACUCGGCGACGCUUCCUUAUUUUGUGUCCUGCGCGCAUCACGGCUGAUCGGCUAUUCUUAAACCCGAAUCUCUGAUUUCACCCAGAGCACGAUGUUUACCUAACGAAGGCCCCUCGAUCCUCUUUCUGCACGUUGCAUAAGCCCCGGGCAUGCAAAGUCCGGAGGAAGUUUCACGCCGUUUCUGCAGUGCGAUCUUCAGCGAGAGAAACGAAUGGAAUCCUCGGUAGAGAGCGAGAGAGAGAGAGAGAGAGAGAGA